GUCUGGGUGGUGUAGUUGGUUAUCACGCUAGUCUCACACACUAGUGGUCCCCGGUUCGAACCCAGGCUCAGACA
This 74-nucleotide transfer RNA is filed under the name Zingiber officinale. It matches the Rfam family "tRNA". From Rfam's summary of the family: Transfer RNA (tRNA) molecules are approximately 80 nucleotides in length. Lineage: Eukaryota; Viridiplantae; Streptophyta; Magnoliopsida; Zingiberales; Zingiberaceae. The record is from Rfam by way of RNAcentral.